RNAcentral lists this ribosomal RNA (568 nucleotides) under uncultured bacterium. Its description in RNAcentral is "partial 16S ribosomal RNA". It matches the Rfam family "Bacterial small subunit ribosomal RNA", at positions 355 to 1375 of the family's 1533-position model. The record is from RNAcentral.
UGGGGAAUAUUGCACAAUGGGCGCAAGCCUGAUGCAGCAACGCCGCGUGAGGGAUGACGGCCUUCGGGUUGUAAACCUCUUUUAGCAGGGAAGAAGCGAAAGUGACGGUACCUGCAGAAAAAGCACCGGCUAACUACGUGCCAGCAGCCGCGGUAAUACGUAGGGUGCAAGCGUUGUCCGGAAUUAUUGGGCGUAAAGAGCUCGUAGGCGGUCUGUCGCGUCUGCUGUGAAAUCCCGAGGCUCAACCUCGGGCCUGCAGUGGGUACGGGCAGACUAGAGUGCGGUAGGGGAGAAUGGAACUCCUGGUGUAGCGGUGGAAUGCGCAGAUAUCAGGAAGAACACCGAUGGCGAAGGCAGUUCUCUGGGCCGUAACUGACGCUGAGGAACGAAAGCGUGGGGAGCGAACAGGAUUAGAUACCCUGGUAGUCCACGCCGUAAACGUUGGGCGCUAGAUGUGGGGACCAUUCCACGGUUUCCGUGUCGCAGCUAACGCAUUAAGCGCCCCGCCUGGGGAGUACGGCCGCAAGGCUAAAACUUAAAUGAAUUGACGGGGUCAUAGCUGUUUCCU